AAUAUUAAUGUAGAUUCCAAAGAGGUAUACCAAGCAGAAACCAUUGGGAUUUCAUUUGGAUUCCCCAUUCACAGCAAAUAAGACCACAAAUCCUCUGAGUUGUAUCACUGCUGGCUAACCCUGCUAAGCCCACUCAGGCUGAGCUGAAAAUUCUCUGCUGGCUCAAAUGAGAAGAAUCGAGGGAACAAUUUCAAUGGGAUGGAGGAGAAAUUUGUUCAGUUUGCAGUUAAUGUGAGUCUACCCUUUUAAUACCUUUUAAUACAAACUUACCCAAUUAGCAUUUCCUGAGCCAAAAAUGUAAACCAAAAUGCAGCUAUUCUUCAAAGCUCACUCUUUUUGCAGUACAGUUCUUCAACCAGAAAUGCAUACAAAGAAGCAUAUAUUAGGUGAAAGUGUGCGGAACAAUGCACAUAUUAGUUCAAACAACAUAUAAAAAUGUAUUAUAUUAGGAGAAACUGCUUGCAAAAAUAAGUAUAUGAAGCAGAAUGUUACAACAAAAAUGUAGUUUUCGACAGGUUUCACAUUCCUUCCAAAUCACCAAGAUGCCCCCCCCCUUUUCCACCUGCAAAUAGGGCAACAAAACUAGUUUAUUUCUGUCACUGCUGUCAGUCUUCUGGCCAAUAAUGCCUCUCUUUGAGGAAGGACCCCAUUGGCCCUUUCUUGAGGUGAGGCAGGAACCUGGGAGAGGUGGCAAACCAAACCAAAAGGUUAGAGAAGGAGACGAAGACAAAUGGAGGUUUUUUGAGGUGGCAGAGGGAGAGAGGUCAGCGGAGAUAAAACGAGGACAUCGUAGCAGGGCCAUGUCCCUGAACAGGAGGCAUUUCAUAACAGCUCUGAAGAAAACACCUUUCCUACAACAUAGCAUGUCACUGAGGAGGCUAGGGCGCUCCAUUAACCCUGACAGAUUAGUUUUCUACAUGCAAGGUUUCUUUGUUAAUGUGGGGACCACUCAGAUAUGCAAUACUUUCUCUGCAGGGCUAGCCCAAGGCAAUUUGUUGCCGGAAUCAGAGCAGCAAAUGGCAUCCCUUCCCAAGUCACUUAGGACAGUUGUGGCAGAGAAAAGUGCCUGGCAAUUAAAACACGGCACUAAUACAAUUAAUAUCUAACAGCUUGCUGUAAAACACAGAAGCUGAGGCAGCCAAUUCAAAAGCUUUAGCCUGGGAGGUCUGGCAUCAGCAGGCAGAAUCUCUUCUCACUUACUGGGUCCUCAGAAGGGUCUGCCACCGAGAACUGCACUGCGUUCUCCUUAAGUCACUGUUCCAGCCUGGCAGCUGCAAGAUGGCUGAGUCAGGGAGCCACCAUUUUUAUUUCCCACAAUGCUCAUGAUGCACGGUUGCUCUGGGGCACAGCGAGGAAAUAAAAAUGGCAGCUGCUGUGGCCAUCAACACCAGAGACAAUCCCAGUGUAGGGGGCAUUUUGUUGAGGGGCCCCCUAACCCUGGUCCCAAUGCAGUGUGCAACUCCACACUGCAAUGCAAACAUGUACAGUGGUACCUCGGGUUAAGAACUUAAUUUGUUCUGGAGGUCCGUUCUUAACCUGAAACUGUUCUUAACCUGAGGUACCACUUUAGCUCAUGGGGCCUCCUCCUGCUGCUGCACUGCCGCCACAUGAUUUCUGUUCUCAUCCUGAAGUAAAGUUCUUAACCCGAGGUACUGUUUCUGGGUUAGCAGAGUCUGUAACCUGAAGCGUCUAUAACCUGAAGCAUCUGUAACCUGAGGUACCACUAUACAGAAGGUUUCUGUGUGACAUUGAAAUUACCUGGAAUAGACAUGAAUAUGUGGAAGGGUAGAAGGAUCUACUUGUGCUUCAGACACAGCUCUUCCCUUCAUAGGGGGAGGGAGCUGUGGGCUUGGCCAGUUCUCAGGGCUGUCUUAAGCAUUUGCGGUGCCGGGGUGCAAAGACCCCCCCCCCCCAGUUUGCCCAGUCCCAGGCAUGCAGGAGGGCGGAUCUGGCCGGCCACCUCAGUGUCUCACUAGCUCAGUCGCCCCCGAACUCGUGGCGCAGAGCCGCCUGCAGCAGAAGAGCCCGCCGUGGUGCCCCUUCCCCGGACUCAACUCUCGAGGCCACGGACUCUUGGCCUGGCACCCCUGGAAGUCCGGCGCCCGGGUGCCCCGCACCCCUAGCGCCUAUGGGUAAGACGGCCCUGCCAAUUCUGUUUGUCAGAGGGUGGGAGGUGUAGGAGAGACUAAAUCUCUCCCUGCCCACCACACACCAGCCCUAAACAGACCCCCCUUUCGACAACAGCUUUAGGCUGCCAGGAUCUCUGAAAGGGGGGUGUACCAAGCCGUGGCCAAUCCUCUUGAACUCUACCACCAUCCUUCUGCGUCUGCAGUUUUGGCCUCGGUACACAGUAUGGGGGGUGUAAACCCCGUGCGAUUUGCUGAUUUGGUCAUCUCGGGAAAGAGGCUGUGUCAGUGUUUGAACUGAUCUGGUGCUGCUGUCAGCAGUCACAAGAUGGACACUGAUUACGCACAGAAUGUAAGCAUGUCAAGUCACCGACCCUGCUCUAGUAAACCUUGCUACUUGCUCUCAUUUGCCACGAGGGCAGGAAACCCACACUUUGACUGGGGGGAAAAGUGGAGUUUCCCUUUGUGCCAACCGUAGGUCCUACUAGAAGAUAGAAAGGAUUACUAGAGAAAGAAAGAAAACCUCCUGCUGCCUAUUCAUGAUUUUCACUUAGGAAGUCAUGCAAUCCAUGAAAAUCAUCAAAGAAGCUGAAUGGAAGGCUUGCCCUCCCUUCCCUCAUGUUAUUUUUUUAGAUUGUGAGCUUAUGGGCUAUACAUUUUAUGCAUUUUAGAAUGCUUCUGUAAAUAAAUGUGUACAGUGGUACCUCGGGUUAAGUACUUAAUUCGUUCUGUUCUCACCCUGAAGCAAAGUUCUUAACCCGAGGUAAUAUUUCUGGGUUAGCGGAGUCUGUAACCUGAAGCGUAUGUAACCUGAAGCAUAUGUAACCUGAGGUAUUACUGUAUCCUGAAACAUUUCACAGAUGAAAGUGGGGACAUUCUGGCACACUUAGGUUCUUGCAUACCCUGCAAGUGUCCCGGAAGAACCAGGACAACCCGUAUUUUCCCCAUGAGAGCACGGCAGCCAUUUUGGGUGCCAUGAUAUUACACAAUUACAAACCAAGAUGUUGGUGCUUUUUUCAGGACUGCAAUCUCGUGCAGUGCCCCGAAACAUGUGCUGGGGCACCGUGAGAGUACAGCCCCAAAGAAAGCUUUUUUUUUUUUGCUCUGUGAUCUUGUGUGGGUUUCAUGACUUGCUUAGGAGCACGGACAGGAAGACACACGUCCUGGUUUGGGGAUGCAACAUGUUGGAGGGUAUGUAUCUUGUACCAGGGCUCACAUGCUGAGCUGUUGUAUCAUUUCCCCUGCUCUUGAUCCUCUUUGUGACUUUUUUUUUGGUCCCCUGAUGCAAAAUCCAAACUUUACAAGACUUUGGCAAUGUGAAACAGGAUAGUGUUUCUUAGUAUCUGUGCCAUUAAUGGAACAAUGUGACUUUGCCGAUUGCUCCAUGGAUAUUCUCUCUGACAAUUAACCCAGGCAUCAAAGCAUUACAGCGAUACAAAGCAUUACAUAACAGAUCUUCCAUCUUCAUUUUAUUUUUUUUUAAUAAAAAUGCUUUUUUUUUAAGGUUGCGUUUCACAAUAGCACAACCCAAGGCAUGUUGUUAAUAGGCCAGCACUGCAAUUUGCCUGGCAUGUACUGUUGCCUAAUUAUUUAUAUUGCUAAUUAUAAACAGGGAUAAUCUAACAUAAUCUCAUGAGAAUCAAGAUUUAAGAAACACCCUGCGCUAAAUCACAAGGAAGAAAAAACACUGGAUUCAAAGAGGGUAGGAAAAACAAACAAAAAACACUUCCUACAAAUCCUUUCAGUGCACUGGAAUUUCUAUCUAGAAGGGCUGCAGUCUGGGCUGUUUUGCCACUAGAGAGCUGUCUAAUGCAACUGAACUAAAAUUUUGUGACGGAGCAACAGAACACAAUAAUAUCCACACCAUAUAGCCCUUUAGGGACUGUACCAUGUCAGAAUGUAAGUAGGGGAUUGCAGAAUUAAUGCUCUUUGCAAUCUGCCCCCUCAAGCCAUUGUAAGAGGAAAAUCAUACAGCAAUGAAAGGGGUUUCACAACCUUCCAUUUACCCCCAAUGCGCAGGGUGCAUGUUUAUACAUGUGCACAUCCCACACCCACUUGCCCACCCACACAUGUGCUUUGCAAUGCGCCAAAGGUAACAAUGUUUUUCUUAUGGAACUUAGAUUUAUAACCACCGAUCCAGUGUGGUGUAAUGGUUAGAUUGUCAGACUAGAACCCGGGGGACCAUGGUUCAAAUCCCCACCCAGAUAUAAAGUUCACUGGGUGACCGUUGAAGCAGCCACCAACUCUCAGCCUUGCCUACCUCACAGGGAUGCUGUGAGUGAUAAAACGGGGAGGGGGACAACCAUGCAAGCCACUUCGAGAACCUUGGAGGAAAAGUGAGAUGGGAAUAUAGCAAUGGCAGCAAUAAUAAGAGAGCCCAACGUAGGGAAGGCAACAUCAAGUGCUUUUUGUUAGUGCUGCAGCUAUACCAUUUGCUAUGACAGGAGGAUGCUAUAAACUGUACCCUAAGUGGAUUCUUUGAAUCUGUUAGGAAUUUUGUACAAAGCUGUGCAUUUAAAAGUGAACCCACCUAUUUAGCGUUUUCCAAAACAAUAUGCAAACCAAUACUUAGCCAUCUUUCAAACUUUCUCCUGUUUUGAAUUUUACAGGGCAGCAAUGUGUACGAAAAUACAUAAAACACACCGAUUUCACAAAAAUAGCACACAAAAUGCACUACAUAUGGGGAAAUGGUUUUGCGAAAAUGUUUACAGUCGUACCUUGGAAGUCGAAUGGAAUCCAUUCUCGAAGUCCGUUCGACUUCCACAACGUUUAAAAACCAAAGCUCCUGCAGCCAAUCGGAAGCUGCGGAAGCCCCGCCAGAUGUUCAGCUUCCAAAAAUAGUUCGUAAACCAGAACAGUCACUUCCAGGUUUGUGGCAUUUGGGAGCCAAAACAUUUGGGAACUAAGCUGUCCAAAAACCUAGGUACGACUGUAUAUUAGGCAAAAUUGAUUUGCAAAAAUGUGUAUCUUAGGAUGAAUUCUCACUAAAAUGCUGAAUAAUUUUCAUAAGGAUUUUUUAAAAAAUGCUUGUCCCUUCUUUGUUGGAUGUUAACCUUGGGAGAGUUGAAAGUAAAGUGAGUUUACUAUGACAAAAAAAACCUGGAUGUCUUCUCCAUCAGCCCACCACUUUCCACCUUUAUUGGCAGCAAUGAGGUCCAGAAUGGCAUUAGGGUGUGGGGUAUCUUUGAAUCUCUGUCAUGUGAAACAUGUUCAUCUGGCGGGCUUAUAUUCCAAAGCAGAGAAAAAGAACUAUGGCCCCUAAAAUGUACCACUUGUCCCAAGUUUUGCAAUUUCCUGCACCUUUCAUCAUCGGCAGACUUUGGUAAUAUGGUGCCCUGACACUGCUGGGAGAUCAGCAACAACAACCUCCCAAGUGCUUUGCCCUCUGCCAGUCCCCUCUGCUGCCUGAUGGGCCCCUAAAACUGCUGCCUGGGGUGUGGUGGAGGAUGUAAGCCUGUCACUGGUCUGUCUCGUCACCGGUGUCGAAGUAAGUUUCAACUGCCACUGCAGUUGGCUUCUGUAUAUGGAAUGGAGGGUUCACCACCAUCUUGCCCAGGCUUCUUCAAACUCGGCCCUCCAGUUGUUUUGGAACUACAACUCCCAUGAUCCCUAGCUAACAGGACCGGUGGCCAGGGAUGAUGGGAAUUGUAGUCCCAAAACAUCUGGAGGGCCAAGUUUGCCUAUCUUGUACUUUGCCUCUGGCAGCAAAAAAACUUGGGGGAAAUACUAGCAGGAAUAAGUCAAAUUAAAGGUGGUUGGCCCCUUUCCCCAGGACCAAGACUAGAUUGGCUUCAUUAUUAGCAGGUGUGAUAGUUCCAGCUGGCCACAAGAGACUCACCUCGUGCUACACCUUAGCUUUUUCUCUAAGCAGCUCCCAAGAGCCACCUGAGAAUCGGUACGGAAUGAGCUAGGAGACACAGGGCUGUGUCAAGUACCACUGAGGUUGCGGGGAGCUGAAAAUCAUAAGGAUGAGGAAGAGGAAGAGGGAAAAGCCCCAAAUACCUUCCCACAAGCCACCCGAAGAACUUGUCUCGCAAGACUUGAAGUGUUUGUUGUUUCCCUCAGGUCUACCCUUGGCACACAUACAACAAUCUGGGACUGCCACGGACCACAAGGGGGCUGAAACAUUAUGGUGGGGGAGAGGAAUGACUCUUGUAUCGCAAAAACUCCUUGGAGGUGUAUGUGUUUUAUGGCUACCAAGCACAAAAUGAGCACUUGUGCUAUGUGCCUCCAAAUGGAGCUGCUCAAAAAAUAAGAUUAAAACACAUUUAAUCAUGUUUUUUUUUUUAAUGUAAACACACACACACACACACAACUUCUACAUUGCAAUUCCAUGCAUGUCUAAUCAGAAGUACGGCCCAUUGCAACAGAGCACACUGCUGGGUAAAUGUGCCUUAAUGGGCUAACAUGUAUAAGAAUAAUCAGGCACCAUAUUUAAAAAUGUCUGUUUACUUAUGAAGAGAUAUUUUAAUCUCAUGGAGAAAAGAAUGCCUCUUACUUUCAGAUGAUGCCUGUCAUAUACAGGCUAAAAACAAAGGAAACAUGCUUCAGAAUGAUUGGUUCUACCUGUAUGCAAAUUUACGCAAAGUCAAUGGAUAUAUUAAGCAGCUAAAACUCAUAUAAUUCAUUGACUUAUCUGGCUGCUAUCCUAUGCUUGUUUGCCUGUGAGUAAGGGCAAUGGGUCUUAUUUCUGAGCAGCUGUGCCUCAAAUUAGGUGCCAGAGUUAUUUAACUCAGCGACAACCUCACAUUAAAAAACUCCACCAUGGAUGGUAUUUAGUCUCCAUAAAAAGCAGAGACAUCACCUUGCCAACAAAGGUCCAUAUAGUUAAAGCUAUGGUUUUCCCAGUAGUGAUGUCUGGAAGUGAGAGCUGGACCAUAAAGAAGGCUGAUCACCAAAGAAUUGAUGCUUUUGAAUUAUGGUGCUGGAGGAGACUCUUGAGAGUCCCAUGGACUGCAAGAAGAUCAAACCUCUCCAUUCUGAAGGAAAUCAGCCCUGAGUGCUCAUUGGAAGGACAGAUCCUGAAGCUGAGGCUCCAAUACUUUGGUCACUUCAUGAGAAGAAGACUCCCUGGAAAAGACCCUGAUAUUGGGAAAGAUGGAGGGCACAAGGAGAAGGGGACGACAGAGGAUGAGAUGGUUGGACGGUGUUCUCGAAGCUACCAAUAUGAGUUUGACCAAACUGCGGGAGGCAGUGCUCUGGUCCAUGGGGUCAUGAAGAGUCGGACACGAUUAAACGACUAAACAACAACAGCAAUUUAGAGUAGUGGUCAUUUCCUGCUAACUGUCCAAUCCUAUGCAUAAUCACUCAGAAGCAAGUCUUUGUUCACUGAAGCUCACUCAAAGAAGAGUGCAUAGCAUUGCUGCCUAAAAGCCAAAUACUAAACUCUUCAAAUGUAUAAGUGGCCUUCAUAGCAGUCUAAGUAAAUGAGGGCUGGUGGAUGUGAUGUAGCUCAAUUUUCUGGAGUGAGGUGCUUAGUAUAACCAGAUAGGUAUAAGUUGUGAUUAGCAACAAGGUACCAAACAACGUUGUGCUAGAGCUGCAAACGACAAAAUGUGAGGCCUUAGGCGAUGGAUAUUGAGUGCUAUGCAAAUUAUUUAAUUUGUUAUAGUGCAUUGUUUUAACUGCAAGGGGACGAGUGUCUCCUAGGGAUGGGGGACAAACUCGAUUCAGCUUGCAUAUUAAUGCGGACAUAUCUAAUUCUCACCUACUGAAACAAUACGCAAACCAAAAUGCAACAAUCCUUUGAAAUUCACACUUCCCCGAAUUUUCAGGUGCAGCUCUACAACCAAAACAGGGCACAAAAUUGGGAAAGAAGUACUAAAAACUGCACACAAUAGUGAAAAUGCAUUCUACUAGGGUGUGUUUUAUUUGCAGAGGUGUGAACAUUAGGCAAAAUUGCAAACAGCAGUGUACAGAUUCGGAGAAAUUUGUACCAAAAUCCUGAUAAAUCUUUAUGAGGAUUUAAAAAUAAAUAAAUGCAAACUGAUGAAGAAAUGUGGAGAAGACCGGAGGAAUGAGAAACUGAGAGAAACCAAAAUUUACACAUCCAUCUUUUCUUAAUAUCUUCAUUUGGAUUUUCUAACUCGGAUGCUAACAUUUCUUGCACUGGCUCUGAACUGUGGGAAACGAAAAGGGGAGAAGCAAAGACGGUCCCCCUGACUCAUUGACAGUUGGUCACCAGCAGAGUGUCAUGGAACACGGCUGGUUUGACAGCUGGUCUGGAAGCUCUGUGAAGAAACAGGGGAUGCUGGGAAGUUUCAUGGGUUCCCACAUCUUCUCUGCUAGCUUUGAGCCUGGUUCUCAUUCUCUGACAGGGAUCUAUCACCUAGUUUGAUAGAGUCUGUGGACACUCUGGAGCUACAUUUUGAAAGAUCUGCUACGGGAGAAUCCAUAACCAGGAACACACUUACUUUCUCCAAGGAAACAAAGUAGGCGUUAUUGGGACAGUCAAAAAUGUUCUUCAGAGCUCACAGAAAAGUUUGUAGGAUGUGGAUUCUGUGGGUGCAUCAGAGCCAGUAGAAUGAAUGAAUAAAUAAAUCCUCACAUCUAUGGAGCAACACAGAUUGAAGUACCCAAUAAAUCAGGUUGUUGAUAUCUGAGUCUGGAUUAUCUACGAAUAUAUUUGCUUCCUUACUAGGCUGCUUUUCCUGGUUCUUCUGUAGGCAACCCUGGGAAGAAAAUGCCUUAAAAACCCCCAAUAUUUAUAAUAUUUAUUGAAAUAUACUCGGAGUCGAGAGUGGAUUUCAUGCUCUAUAUUCAGCUCAUAGUGGUGAGGAGGAAUUGAAGUUCCCCCAAAAUGUCUGCUUUAUAUACAUUAUUUACACAAUGGGCCCCACGUGAUUGGCUCAUUCCAGGAUUCUCCUGUAGGCCAAUCAGGUUGCGGAUUCACUUCCACCUGGAGCUGGAUUGGGUGGCUCCUGUGGACCAAUCAGACUGCUGCAUUCUGGACCCUAUUGUUCUAGGACCAAUCAGACUGCUGCAUUCUGGAUCCUAUUGUUCUAGGACCAAUCAGACUGCUGCAUUUUGGAUCCUAUUCAACUCAGUACAUAACAUUUAUGUAUUACAAUAUGCAUGUAUUUGUUACAAUAUUUAUGAAACAACAUUUAUCUGGGCAGUUUUCAAGCAUCAUCUGGGUUGUUUUGAGCUUUAAAAAGCUUAAUACUUCAGCACUGGAAGAGUAGAAUGUGCCACAGCAUAUCUAUAUUACAACUUGCAUUAGUUUGAUGCCAGUUGCAACCAUCAUGACUCCUCCCCCACAAAGCACCCUGGGAAUUGUGGAUUGGUGUGGAAUCUACAGCCGGAGGAAGCUCAUCUUCUAUCACAGGUGUGCGGAAUCUUCUUCAUCCUCAUUCCCUCAUGGAUAAUCUUCUGGGUUCAGUUGACUCAUUUACCAAGUAUACCAUCCAAAAUUUAUCUCUCACUUUGUUGAUAAAUACUGCCAUGUUUCACUUUACAUCUGCCGCCCACCUAACCAGGAACCUGUGUGGCUUUUCUUCUUCCAGAAUUCUAGGUGAAACCUAAUACUUGCAAGCAUCUGGAGGAGAGUCACCCACUUCGCGAUUUCCAUCUUCAGAUUGAGCCUAAAUGUAGGCCUUCAACCUUCAACACCCAGCCUAAUUUCCCCAACCUUUCCUCUGUGUAACAUGGAGCAUAAUUAUUAAUUAACUAAUUAAACUUAUAUCCUGAACUUCCUCCAAAAGGAGUCCAGGGCAGCAAACAACAAGUGAUAAAAUGGUCAAAACAUCUUUAAAACAAUUCCAAUAAAGAUGGAUAAUUGGGAAAAUCUAGACUUAAAAGGCUUGGUUGUUGUUGAGCUCUGAAUAACCCUAAAGUUACAUUAUGUUGCAAUGUUUGCAAAUAUAGACAUAUACACAUAAACACAUGCUUGUAUCCAAAGGAAUCACCCCCAUCGGGAUGUGGUUAUGAGGACUGUCACGGUACGCUCUUGCAUUUCAAAAUUUACCGCUACAUGACGGGUAGUUGCGACUGUUUAAUCUGCAUUUUCUGUGAAUAUUAUUUGCACUAUUUAUAGUUAACUCUAUGAGCGGCAAGCUGAUUUCUUCAUACAUUAUGAGUUGCCAGUUUACACAAAAGUCUGAUUUUUGCUGUGUUGUUCAACAGCUGACUUUCUUAUUCUUUUUUUAAAGAGAGAGAACAUUUCAGCCAACAAUGUAUAAUCAAGCCCAGUAAUUCUGUGUAAGAACAAAGCCUAUUAUGAGUUUCCCACCCACCAUAAUAACAGCUUAUAACAUGUGGGAAGUGGUCUCCCUAACCCCAAAAUUGCAUUAAAGAUUGUAUAGCAGUUUCAUUGGUUUCUGCAGAGCUUGAUCCUGCAGGAUGGAUGUUCAGCACUUUCUCGUUCAGAUCAAAGCAUUCUAGAGCUGCUUUGCAUCCAAAGGAGAAAACGUUAAUGACGUUUUGGAAUGAUGCCAAGCCAAUAUAGAUGGUCUUCAUAUUCCAAACCAUAGUCCUCUGGAGAUUUAGUGGGCUACAUUCCUUUUUAUUCUGCCUAUAAAGUUUCUCAGUUCUCACUUCGUCUUCUGCUGAUGUAGGUACUGAGGGAUCAUUCUCCUCUGUUUGUAUCUCAUGGGGCCCCUCCAGAUGGGUUUUUUAUGGCAGGUGUAUUCUGUGACAUGUUCUUGAAACAAUAAUAGUGUGUUAGUGGUAGGUUUAUUUUGCUUUACUUUGUUCUGUGAUGCUUCCUCGGUGCUGCCACAUAAUUGUUGUGUGGAAAGAUACAGUGCAACAGAAGUGGAACAACGCCCCACCCCCACCCCUGAACAUUUGUGGUAUAAAAAGUUAUGGGAUUUCAACAAGGAUGUGCACUGAUUGCCAAUGAAGCAGUGUGACUGCCCCAAAACAUUUGCAGGCAAAAGAGUACUGAAGGUGGAAUCAUAUGUAACCACCCCAAUAACAUCAAGAGCACAAAUCAUCAUGAAUGUGCAAUAAAAAGGAUGUCUUCAUAGGCCCAUAGUUUAAAAGAUCUGGUUUUGCACCAUUUGUGGGGUGUUGAUGUUGGUGGUGAUGAUCAUUCUGUCAAGGUUAAGCUGUCAGAGAAGUUGAAAGGCUAAGUUUUACCACCGGUGCAACUUUUCUGACUAAUGUAUGGAAAAGCACAUGAACCUGGCCUUUGAAGUGUUUGUAAGUAAACCAUUUUUUAACUUACCAGACCAAGUGGUCUUUUUCUACGCUAGGGAAACUUUGGAAGGAACUCGCAAGGGCACAUUUUAAAGGUCUAUCAGCCUAUGUUUUCAUGCUUUACUUUGCUGCAGUUUUUGUGAUUUUAAAUUUAUGCUUGGGUUCUCUCACCCAAGACUACUUGCCCCAAAACCUGGAUCAUGGGAUACAAGGAUUACUCCUUUUUAUAUGCUUAUUUUCACAUAUAACAGCAUUUACACCAUUCCCAAUAUGAAACAACACAAAACAAAAACAAACAAACACCCAGAUAUCAUACAGAUGACUAAAAUACAUGGCUUAUGAAAUGACCUAAAGAAAUAAAUUAGACUGCAGGGCUAAUUUUAAAUUUCCAGAUGGAUAUCUUGCUUAAUUAAAACUCAACUGAACCUUGGAGCUCUCACCUGACGUUAGGUUUGGUAACUGCUGUACUUGGGAACAUCAAUUUCGCGUUUGAUGCUAAAAGGUGUGUUGAACUCUGAAUGGCAAAAACUGGGUGGGGAGGUAGUGGGGGAUAUUUGAAGUGGAGAAGCAACAGAUUGUGUGGGGCAGGAGGGGGGUUGAGAAAGGGUUUAGCACUGGUUCCCCCCCCCAAGGGAAAACAAAUACAGUCAUACCUCGGGUUGAAGUAGCUUUGGGAUGAAUAUUUUCGGGUUGCACUCUGCAGCGACCCGGAACUAACGGAGCGCGCUACUUCUGGAUUUCACCGCUCAAAAUGACGUCACACACAUGCGCAGAAGCGGCUCUGGAACGGAUCCCGUUUGCAUCCAGAGGUACCACUGUAAUACUUAUCCACAUCUGUAUGCACAGUGUCCGCCAUUCUCACUCUGAUACCUGCAUUAACCUAGGCUCCCAUUGUUUACUUUUCCCCCACUGAACUGAGUGGUGAUGCAAUGCUUUCUCACACAUUUAAAACACAUAUUUCAGCUUUUCCUUGUCUUGUGACUGCUGCGUGAACUGGAUGACACACUUUCCCCCCCUCUUUUACUUUUUAAAAAUGGUCACUGUGGCAAUGAAAUGAUUUGCUCUUCUCCCUCCCAUCUCUUACAAGUGCAAAUUUGACAGAGAACAUGCUUGAUAUUCCUCAGUGGUGAGAUAAAGUGCCUCUCUAUUUAAAUUACAGUAAUUAUUUCAAAAUUUAUGCCUGGACAUAUAAAUUAGCAUGUGCAAAACUUAGACAAAUCUGUUUCCUACUCCCUCCUCUUUUUGGGGGGGGGCGGGGGCCUCUGUGUGUGAUGCAAAUGGUUACCUGAGAAAGUGGCCUGCCCUGAAGGUUGAAUCGAUCAGUCUGAGUCUGAUUAUGCACCUCUGCUCGACAGCUUUCACUCAUCCAGGGCAGACUGGGGAACAAAUAGAAUGUACCACGAAAUGCAUCAUUGCAUUUAAUGCUAUCAUGUUCUUUUUAAAAAGCAAAAACAGCUGCAGGUGGGGAGAAUCUACUGGUGUCAUAUGGGUAGAGGGCCUAACCUUUUCCUCUUCUGUUAUGGCCACAAUGAAACUGACCACCCAGUCUUGCCAGGCUGCAAUUUGCAUGGGGAGGAAAUGUGCUCUUGUGCUGAGGUAGGGUUGCUAUGCAGUGGCGUAGCGUGGGGGGUGCAGGGGGGGCUGGCCGCACCGGGCGCAACAUCUGGGGGGGGCGCGCUCGCACUCGCAGCUCUCUGCCCCUACCUGGCUCACUCACUCUCUCUCACUGCAGUGCUGGCUGUGCGAAUCCGAUCCGAGCCACUGGGUCGCCGCCCACUGUGGAGGGGUGGGUGCCAGGCGUGCGGUGCGGAGAGAGAGCGAGGGACUAUCUGGGGAGGGACAGUGCAGCGGCCGCCCAGCGCAGCGCUGAGCGCGGGGAGAACCACACCAGACCAGACCAGGCAGCAGCAAGAAGAAGCUGGCAGCGGCGGCAGGUUAGGGGUUAGGGGGCGCAAAUUACUUGCCUUGCCCCGGGUUAGGGGGCGCAAAUUACUUGCCUUGCCCCGGGUGCUGACAACCCACGCUACGCCGCCGUUGCUAUGCUUCUGGAACUUGCACAUAACCGGAAUACAGUCAUACCUCGGGUUAAAGUAGCUUCAGGUUGAGCGUUUUCAGGUUGCGUUCCGCAGCGACAAUGAACUGAGAUACAGAAUGUCUUCAAAUAGAGGGUUGUCCUCUUUGAUGUAGGACACAUAGCUACCCUUGUGGUCAAGGAGCAUGGGAGCUGCUAUGGAGGGCCAUAGGUUCCACAUCCCUGCUCAAAACAACAUUUAUUUUAAAAGUUAAGUUAUUGGGCAACUCAGCGUUAUUACCUCAAAACAAUAUUUCAGUGUUUUGGGGAAUAUUUGCUGCUGCUGCUGUUUGUUUCCAGCUUAAUGCUGCUGUGCGUAGAUGCUCAGCUGCUGUCCUUGCAUGGCUACAGUUCAUGCCUUGUGCUUUCUUGUAAUGUUCUCAUGUCUGCGCCUGAACCACAACUGCUUUUUCUUUCUUUCUGUUUAACACCAAGGACGUGCCAAAGGGCUGCACCGCUCUCAUUUCUUGCUUUUACUAGAGCUGAGCGUAACCUUCAAAAUGUUUGCCACUAGCUGACAGAAUAUAAGCUUUCUUGUUUGGCUACAGAAUCAGCAGUUUUGCUAAAAAGAGGAAAAAACCCUACACAAUGCAAGUUUGAAAUUCCAAAUGUUGCAGUGUUUUGUAGUAAGACUUUAAUGGCACAGCUACAUGCACAGACUACACGGAAAUCAUUGUAGGUGGGUUGUAAUGGACGAAACAGGUAGGGAAAUAACAAGACGAAAAAGGUUUCAACCCCCCCCCCAACAACCUCACAGUGUUUUGAGUCAGAUCUCUUACAAAAGCAGCCCAAGUAAGGCCAGGAUCCAGAAAGGCACGAGAAAGGGUUAACAUAAGCCUGAACUGUGGUGCACAUAAAAAAAUCUUGACAGCUUAAUUGCUGUGUUGACAGAGCUUGCUGUUUUGCAGCUGAUGGUAUUUUCCUCUUCAAAGUUUUGUACCGCAUUACAGAAGAGGCCCAGGCUCAGAGACACACCCUCUUAAUACACCUGCUGGCAGACAGGAUGUGUGUAGGUGGCUCAGUCAGAGAGGCCCCGGGAACAAAGAGUAACAGGUUGAAGAAAAACCAGGCAGAUACUCCCAAUUUAACAGCCCUUGAGAUUUUGGGGACAGGGAUCAAGCACAGUUUGAGAGCCAUCGAGAGUCAAGGCUAUGAACUGACCUCUUGUGACCAUCAAUUGCUGUUGCCAUAUCCUCCAACAUUUCUCUGAUGAAAAUAGGGACGUCCCAUUCCAUAAUGAUAUUUUUACUAAUUAUACUCCACACAUCUUACUGGGUUGCUCCAGCCACUCUGGGCAGCUGCCAACAUAUAUAAAAACAUAAUGAAACAUGAAACUUCCCUAUACAGGAUUGCCUUUAGAAGGCUCGGGGGUUGGAUAACUCCAUACCCUCCAACAUUUCUCUAAUGAGAAUAGAGACAUCCUAAGGAAAAGUGGGACAUUCCGGGAUCAAAUGAGAAACUGAGACAGCUUCUCUAAAUCAGGGAUGUCCCUGGAAAAUAGGGACACCUGGAAGGCUUGCUGUUGUAGACUUUAUAAAGCUAGGACAAGGACAUGGGAAGGAGGUUAGCUGCUCCCAAGAUUAGCCAGGAGGGCCUGAGUUCUCCCCUCAGGGAUGAUCAGACCCCUGCAAAAACAUGUUGCUGUUGUCAUGAACAAUUGAUAUUGAAGAGGGCAAAUGCAAGCUUUUUUCCUAGGGCUCCAGAACCACAUGUAUUUGCUGUGCCUUGGGAAGAGAGCUUAGUUGUGGAAUGAACAAGGAAUGAAUUAAUGCAUCUUGGAAUGUAGCUAAUAUUUGGGAUAUGAAUGGAAAAGACAAGCUGCAGAACUGUGCCAGACAAGGAAUCCCUGGGCUGACGUACGCAAACCAACCUGGCUGGGAUGGCACAUACCCCCCAACAAUUCUCCAAUGAAAACAGGGACAUCCUACCAUACCCUCCAACAUUUCUCUCUUGAAAAUAGGGACGUCCUAAAGAAAAGUGAGACAUUCCAGGAUCAAAUCAGAAACCGGGACUGCUUCUGUAAAUCUGGGACUGUCCCUGGAAAACAGGGACACCUGGAUGGUCUGGGAAAGUUAAGAGCAAAACCAUUAGCAGGCAAAGGUGUGGAUUGCUGGUCAUUAUCACAUCAAAGGAAGGGUCCUUGGGUCUGUGAAAAACAGGGGUUGCGAAAGUGAUGGGUGUGAUAUGACAGGGAAAAGUGUUUUUACAAGAGCCUUGGGUUUGGGGUCAGUGUUGGGAAGAAGAAGAACAAAGGCCAGAACCAUCUUGGCUGCUGGCUGGGGAGGCUGCAACCCAGAGACUGGGGGGAGCAUAGCUGCUCUGGACUCAAGAAGCCAGAAGAGACAGCCUAGAGAUAUAAUGCUCCUUGUAUAGAUCCAGGUGUAAAGGUAAAGGUAAAGGGACCCCUGACCAUUAGGUCCAGUCGUGGCUGACUCUGGGGUUGCAGCGCUCAUCUCGCUUUAUUGGCCGAGGGAGCCUGCGUACAGCUUCCGGGUCAUGUGGCCAGCAUGACUAAGCCACUUCUGGUGAACCAGAGCAGCGCACAGAAACGCCAUUUACCUUCCCGCCGGAGCGGUACCUAUUUAUCUACUUGCGCUUUGACAUGCUUUUGAACUGCUAGGUUGGCAGGAGCAGGGACCGAGCAACGGGAGCUCAACCCGUCGCGGGGAUUCAAACUGCCGACCUUCUGAUUGGCAAGUCCUAGGCUCUGUGGUUUAACCCACAGCGCCACCCGCGUCCUUGAGCCAGGUGCAGAUAUUUGCAAAAUAAACCAUAUAUCUUAAAGCACUACAGCCUUUACCAUGCCCUGAGUUCACAACUGGGUUCAGAAACUGGGUAAGCUGCCCGGCGCCACUAGACUCUUGCUACUGCUCAGGGCAGAUUUUGGGGUGCCGUGUAACAAUGCACAUGGCCCUCCAGAGGGACAGAACAAGGGGAGUAGAGGAUCUUUCACAUUUCCUCAUUGCUUACGUGCUUGGGGAAGGCAGCAGAAUAGGCAUCAACAGCCAAGUGCUGGAGGAAACGUUCAGUGACCGUGGGCUCCCACUGGAAUGCAGACAAGUGCCCAGCAAUGCUAUGCCUGGCCCCAGCCUGGGAGUCAGAGUUGAGGUUGAGAGUGAUGCAAAGAGACUGAGCUUCCUAGCCCUUCUACUGUUCUGUAACAUGUUUAAAUUGUGUCUUUUUAGUUUGGUUGUAAUCCUUAACUUUUCUUUGUUUGUUUUGUUUUUUAAUUUUUUUGUUAUAUACAAAAAGUUUACAUAGUACAGUGGUACCACGGGUUACAUACGCUUCAGGUUACAUACGCUAACCCAGAAAUAGUGCUUCAGGGUCAAGAACUUUGCUUCAGGAUGAGAACAGAAAUCGUGCUCCGGCGGCGAGGCGGCAGCAGGAGGCCCCCUUAGCUAAAGUGGUGCUUCAGGUUAUGAACAGUUUCAGGUUAAGAAUGGACCUCCGGAACAAAUUAAGUACUUAACCCAAGGUACCACUGUAUUACAUGUACAUUAUACUUGUAAAUUCACUUGUUGUUUAGUUGUAAUCCUUAACUUUUAAUUUAAUAUUGGACUGCUUCCCCCUCCCUCCCUUCCCCCCCUCUUUUACAGAAACAACAUUUCCAAGGUCCCUGAAUAACAGAAGACUGGCGUGGAAAAGAAAGGAUACUUCGUUCAACAUUGUGCAACAGUUCUUUACAUCAGUAUAAAAUGGGCUCUGACUUCAGGCUUCCUUUCCAUACCGGGUGUUCACCGCAAAUCCUCCCCUAUCUGCCGUC
Non-coding RNA from Podarcis lilfordi (Lilford's wall lizard), 17104 nucleotides. NCBI's taxonomy places the organism in Eukaryota, Metazoa, Chordata, Lepidosauria, Squamata, Lacertidae. The record is from the annotation of a GenBank genome assembly.